GACGAACGCUGGCGGCGUGCUUAACACAUGCAAGUCGAACGGAAAGGCCCUGCUUUUGUCUGGUGCCCGCGUGGCGAACGUGUGAGUAACCCGUGAGUCUCCUGCCCUUGACUUUGGGACAACUUCAGGCAACUGCGGCUACUACCGGCUAGCUGCUCCUGCUGCAUGGUGGGCGUUGGACCGUUUCGGCGGUUGGGGAUGGAGUGCCGGCUUAUCAGCUUGUUGGUGGGGUAGUUGCCUACCCAGGCUUCGACGGCUAGUCGGCCUGAGAGGGGGAACGGCGACAUGGGGACUGAGAGAGGGCGCAGACGGGAACGGUAGGCAGCAGGGGGGAAUAUUGUACAAUGGGCGGAAGCGUGAUGCGGAAGCGCCGCGAGCGGGAUGAAGGCCUUCGGGGGGGAAACCGCUGUCGCCUGAGACGAAGCGGGAGUGACGGUAAUGGGUAAAGAAGCACCGGCUAACUACGUG
RNAcentral lists this ribosomal RNA (468 nucleotides) under uncultured bacterium. RNAcentral describes it as "partial 16S ribosomal RNA". It matches the Rfam family "Bacterial small subunit ribosomal RNA", at positions 28 to 507 of the family's 1533-position model. The record is from RNAcentral.